This 253-nucleotide ribosomal RNA is filed under the name uncultured bacterium. RNAcentral describes it as "partial 16S ribosomal RNA". It matches the Rfam family "Bacterial small subunit ribosomal RNA", at positions 524 to 776 of the family's 1533-position model. The record is from RNAcentral.
UACGGAGGGUGCAAGCGUUAUCCGGAUUUACUGGGUUUAAAGGGUGUGUAGGCGGGCCUUUAAGUCUGGGGUGAAAUCUCCGAGCUCAACUCGGAAACUGCCCUGGAUACUAUCGGCCUUGAAUUAUGUUGAGGUUGGCGGAAUAUAACAUGUAGCGGUGAAAUGCAUAGAUAUGUUAUAGAACACCGAUUGCGAAGGCAGCUGACUAAGCAGAUAUUGACGCUGAGGCACGAAAGCGUGGGGAGCAAACAGG